AUUGAACGCUGGCGGCAUGCCUUACACAUGCAAGUCGAACGGUAACAGGUCUUCGGAUGCUGACGAGUGGCGAACGGGUGAGUAAUACAUCGGAACGUGCCUAGUAGUGGGGGAUAACUACUCGAAAGAGUGGCUAAUACCGCAUGAGAUCUACGGAUGAAAGCAGGGGAUCGCGAGACCUUGUGCUACUAGAGCAGCCGAUGGCAGAUUAGGUAGUUGGUGGGAUAAAAGCUUACCAAGCCGACGAUCUGUAGCUGGUCUGAGAGGACGAUCAGCCACACUGGGACUGAGACACGGCCCAGACUCCUACGGGAGGCAGCAGUGGGGAAUUUUGGACAAUGGGCGAAAGCCUGGUCCAGCAAUGCCGCGUGCAGGAUGAAGGCCUUCGGGUUGUAAACUGCUUUUGUACGGAACGAAAAGCCCCGGGUUAAUACCCUGGGGUCAUGACGGUACCGUAAGAAUAAGCACCGGCUAACUACGUGCCAGCCGCCGCCGUAA
This 498-nucleotide ribosomal RNA is filed under the name uncultured bacterium. Its description in RNAcentral is "partial 16S ribosomal RNA". It matches the Rfam family "Bacterial small subunit ribosomal RNA", at positions 30 to 523 of the family's 1533-position model. The record is from RNAcentral.